GUUAGAGAGCAUGCGCAACAAGCGAUGUUUUGAAUUUCUGCGUCGAAUUUGCUGAAACUACGAAGAAGUAGAGAGACUGCUUGCAUUUUACCUCUGGACAAAGACUGAUUACUUCUACACAAUAUAAUAAGCAUGCAAAUGAGGGGAAAAACUUCAAGAUAUCAGCCCUAAAAAUCGGCAGCACAUAUCGGCCAUCGGCUGACCCUGACCUCUAAACAUCGGCAUCGGCUAUAGAAAAACCCAUAUCGGUCGAUCUCUACUCUGAACAGCGGUCUUGUGAACAUGGGCCUCAGUACAAUAAAGAACCCAGAUUCGUCAGAACUACACACCCAUCUGAGGCCUACUGUACCUGUUUUACUUCAUGAUCACCCCAGAUACUUCUACAAUUGACCCGCUUUGUGUCUGAUAUUGAUGCAGUCUGGGCACUAGUAUCUGUUGGCUUGCUGACUAUCACUGAAGAUGAAGUACUUCUCCAAAUCUUCUCUGCCUUGACCCUGUGUCUUCUGCCAUCAUUGUUCAGUGUAGUACUGCAAAGAACCGUCUCCAGGGUCUACCUCGCACAUUUGCUUCCGGACCGCCAUGUGCUACGUUUGGAUUACUGGUACAUGAAGAUUACCCUGAUACUGUGAAGAACACUUACAAUAUGAUGCUUGACUUGGGACAGAAAAAAAAAAACACUGGCAACUUGUGUGGCCAACUCAUUGCCAUACUUAAUCUCAUCUUACUGCUACCUCCACUGUUUAGUAUAAACAAAAGCAGACAGUUUUUGCUUUGUUUCAAAAUGUUUGUAAUACAAGUUAAAACUGCAUUGAAAAAUAUAAAAAAUAUAUUAUCUUUAACUUUGAACUGUCACUACCUUUGAUUUAUGGGUAAUUAUGUGUGUGAAGAAUAGAACAUUGUUGUCAUGAAUUUUUAAUGGAUGUUUGAACCAUAUUAAGUUACUGGAGUAACGCUAACUUCUUCUUUUUUUUGUUUUUUUUAUUUAAGGCAAUUGGUUAAAACUAGAUUGCUGUUCAAGUAAAUACAACUUAGAAAUGUUACUUGAUUUAGCUAAACUUAAAUGAGUUGUUUGAAAUACGCACAUAGUAUAUUGCAAUUAAUAAUUUAGUUGUUGAAAAAAGUGAUUCUGAGUUACAAGAACUUGAGUGUAAGUUUACAACAAAUAAACCUUUGUUAGUACAAAUUACUAUUCUUAUUUCACUUUACUUGUUUUUUUUUCAAGGCAAUCGGUUUGCAUGCUUUUUUAAAAUAACUAAUUAGAAUCAGACAACUUCCCUGCCCAGUGAACACUAGUGAGAUCAACUCAGAACACUGUAGCUGUAAUAAAGUACUGUUAUUAUAGUUACUAUACUGUACUACACUGUGUGGUUCUUUCAGCUCUCUCUUCAGUGCUAGGAUGCAUUUUUAAAGCAGUCACCUGUGCUCCUGUUUAUACUAUCCUGAGAUUCUGACUGGUGUCAUCAGUUUUGCUACUGAAUGCUUGCUAAUUGUGUGUUAUUUGAGUUCACACUGUGACACUAGAGUUAAUUAUUUGAUGUGUAUGUGUUUUAUGAGUGAGAACAUAAAAUAUCUGUAAAAUGAGGCCAACUUUGGAGAAAUCAUUAAAAAAAUUGGAAUGUGUGGAUAGAUGCAUUCCAGUAUAAUAUAUAGCCUAGAAUAUUAUAAUUUCUAAAAUACUAAAUUAUUAAAACAUUACAUGAUUGAAGUGUUUACUCAUGGUCCAUCGUUAAUUUAGAAUUUGGCCUUUGGAUUUAACUGUGUUAAUGCAUUAAGCCAUUUUUCGAUUAACGGUUUUCUGGGGGACAAAACACAUAAACUUAUAAAAAUGUUGUCUUUCCAUUUACUUUAUACUGCCAUUAUCUUGUGCCAUUAGUGAUAUAUGGUGCUUACAAGAAAGCUGUGAAUUGGUUGUUCCUGGUUGUUGUUUUACAAGUGCACUUCUAAACAACAUUGUAAGUUCAUUGAUUAGCUAUAUUGCAGUGUAAUUUUAAUUUUACUCGUCAUAUUUUCGUCAACGUUCUGAACGUUAUGAAAUAUUCGGGGAUUUGGAGGUGCUAAAAUGAUAUAACAUGCAGGUUUUUUUGUUUCUUUUUGCUCCAAACAAAACAAAACACUAAUCUACAGCACUUAAGACAUUUGACAAAAUCACACACACAACUGGCAAAAGGUAUUACAGACGACAAGGCGUAGACGUCACGUAGCUUCUCACGCGAGAAGUGGGGCGACGAAAGUGUCGCGCUUCUUAUCACACAUCCUUGGUCACGGCAAGGUAC
Molecule: long non-coding RNA, 2273 nt
Organism: Cyprinus carpio carpio
Lineage: Eukaryota; Metazoa; Chordata; Actinopteri; Cypriniformes; Cyprinidae
Source: Ensembl